This is a long non-coding RNA of Anguilla rostrata (American eel), 1764 nucleotides long. RefSeq lists it as uncharacterized. Lineage: Eukaryota; Metazoa; Chordata; Actinopteri; Anguilliformes; Anguillidae. The record is from RefSeq and is a predicted model, not a curated record. The transcript is spliced from 4 exons.
GAGAAACAAAGGAGCGAUUUCAUUGGACAGAAUUUCGUAAUUGUGUAAGGAAAGUCGUUAAACUGGAUAAACAGGUAGUUCUGAUAUUUCCUUGUGUUCUGAGAUCAAAUCACUAACUUUAACGUUCCGUUAAAAAGCCAGCGUUUUCGCAAUGUUUUACUGUCAUUCAUCCAAAAGACGAGUCUUCUACUACGCUUUAAACUGACCAUGAGAUGAUGCCUGGCUUGACAGUCUGAACUUUUGAUUGCUGGGUGGAUGAGAAGGUGAAUCAUCCAUUUCAAUGAAUACAGAGACAAUUGAGGAUCCUGUGAGGUCGCAGUUCAGCUGGCUACCAAUGGUGCUCCCGUAGUGGGUGAGAACAAGCUAUCUCUUCAGUGCAGUUUGCAGAUAAUAUCCUUGUAAGGCCUGGCAGAAAAAAGAUUUAAGUAUUUAAUAAUUUUUUGACAUUAUACAAGUGUCCUGGACCUGGAUGACGCAAACAUGUUGCUGUGAAAAUAUUUUCCAAAAUAUUAUUUAUUUCAGUUUUAAGGGAUGUUUUAGCAUAGUAGAAUAUACAGGUGUUGAGAUUAAGAACAGACUUAUGUAACCUACAGAGGAAAAAAUGAAUUGCUUAGGUUUUAGGAGGAUGAAUUUGAAUAAUACAUUUGCUUCUCCAUGUGGGUCAAACAAGUCAGUAGCAUGUCAGAAAGUGGAGUACUGCUGAUUUAAAUCUUCCAGGGAUCCCUCCAACCCCAAAGAAGUAAUGCUGACCUACAUACAGUUUCUUCAGGCCUUGCUGCAGUAAUAAUGCAUUUUUCCAAUAAAUUCAUACCUCAAACCAAAUAUAUUACCAGUUCACUGAGGAAAUAUGUUUGAAUCUGUAACAGGAGGUCCACCCACUAUUCUGAGUGUACUUUAAACCCACAUUUACAUCUGCUGCAUAAAGUGAUCAAAGAGCACCCAAUACCCUCAUUAUAGUGAGUAAAGAGAGCCUUCUUCACAGUCACCUAUGCUGACACUAACCGCAUUGACUGUUAAUGCACCAGGCCACUUAUUUGUUCUACAGUAGAACUGUUUUUUCUUACCUCUGUAAGUAUUUGGAUGAGUUAUAGUAUAAAAUUGUACAUUGUUGCGUUGCAUCCUUCUGCUAUUGAAUUUAUUGCGUUAGCUCAAACUUCACUGGAAGAAUAUAAUUUAAGGAUAUAAUUUGUUAGGUUAAUUUACAGGUAAAAUAUUGUACUCUAAACUGGUGUUAUCCUUCACAGUGAUGUGCUUUAAUCAAGCAGGCACUUUGUUUGAGACAACAUAGAAGAAGUAAAGAAAAACACCAUCCAACAUUUAUUAUCUCAAACAGGAAAUUGGAACUGAGGAACAGAUAAAUAAUAUUAGUAAUUUUAUAUUUUACUUCAAUUCUAUACUAGAUUUGAGUUGACAUUUGGUUUCUGUGAGAGGUAGUGAUUCUGUAUCACAGGUAAAGUUUGUUUUUAGAACUAGAUAAAUGCAUGGAAAUCUGUGAUGUACAUGUGUAGCACAGCCUGCGUGAGACACGUGCUGUAUUGUCCACUCAUGCAGGCAGGCAUGGGUUAAAUCGAAAGCUUUGAGUCUCCUCUCAGCUCUACUAAAUGAGUUGGUGUAGGGGUGCGAUCUUUCGUGAUAGACUGCUCAGUCUCCCAUUCCCUGGAGUCUGAUGGCCUCAUAAUGGGCUCAUAUGCAAAGAAGAUGCCUAAUUUGAGUCUGUCUUUCAAUUCCAUCCUCAUUCUCACUUGAUGCCCUCUGACAAAAGAC